This 301-nucleotide ribosomal RNA is filed under the name uncultured bacterium. RNAcentral describes it as "partial 16S ribosomal RNA". It matches the Rfam family "Bacterial small subunit ribosomal RNA", at positions 509 to 807 of the family's 1533-position model. The record is from RNAcentral.
CAGUAGCCGCGGUAAUACGGAGGGGGCUAGCGUUGUUCGGAAUUACUGGGCGUAAAGCGCACGUAGGCGGCUUGGUAAGUUAGAGGUGAAAGCCUGGAGCUCAACUCCAGAAUUGCCUUUAAGACUGCCGAGCUAGUAGGUGAGAGAGGUAAGUGGAAUUCCGAGUGUAGAGGUGAAAUUCGUAGAUAUUCGGAAGAACACCAGUGGCGAAGGCGGCUUACUGGCUCAUUCUAGACGCUGAGGUGCGAAAGCGUGGGGAGCAAACAGGAUUAGAGACCCGCGUAGUCCCUGUCUCUUAUAC